AGUGAACGCUGGCGGUAGGCCUAACACAUGCAAGUCGAACGGCAGCACAGUAAGAGCUUGCUCUUACGGGUGGCGAGUGGCGGACGGGUGAGGAAUACAUCGGAAUCUACUUUUUCGUGGGGGAUAACGUAGGGAAACUUACGCUAAUACCGCAUACGACCUACGGGUGAAAGCAGGGGAUCUUCGGACCUUGCGCGAUUGAAUGAGCCGAUGUCGGAUUAGCUAGUUGGCGGGGUAAAGGCCCACCAAGGCGACGAUCCGUAGCUGGUCUGAGAGGAUGAUCCGGCACACUGGAACUGAGACACGGUCCAGACUCCUACGGGAGGCAGCAGUGGGGAAUAUUGGACAAUGGGCGCAGGCCUGAUCCAGCCAUACCGCGUGGGUGAAGAAGGCCUUCGGGUUGUAAAGCCCUUUUGUUGGGAAAGAAAAGCAGCAGGUUAAUACCCCGCUGUUCUGACGGUACCCAAAGAAUAAGCACCGGCUAACUUCGUG
RNAcentral lists this ribosomal RNA (492 nucleotides) under uncultured bacterium. RNAcentral describes it as "partial 16S ribosomal RNA". It matches the Rfam family "Bacterial small subunit ribosomal RNA", at positions 29 to 507 of the family's 1533-position model. The record is from RNAcentral.